RNAcentral lists this ribosomal RNA (931 nucleotides) under Acinetobacter baumannii. RNAcentral describes it as "bacterial SSU rRNA". It matches the Rfam family "Bacterial small subunit ribosomal RNA", at positions 54 to 979 of the family's 1533-position model. The record is from RNAcentral. Lineage: Bacteria; Pseudomonadati; Pseudomonadota; Gammaproteobacteria; Moraxellales; Moraxellaceae.
CAUGCAAGUCGAGCGGGGGAAGGUAGCUUGCUACCGGACCUAGCGGCGGACGGGUGAGUAAUGCUUAGGAAUCUGCCUAUUAGUGGGGGACAACAUCUCGAAAGGGAUGCUAAUACCGCAUACGUCCUACGGGAGAAAGCAGGGGAUCUUCGGACCUUGCGCUAAUAGAUGAGCCUAAGUCGGAUUAGCUAGUUGGUGGGGUAAAGGCCUACCAAGGCGACGAUCUGUAGCGGGUCUGAGAGGAUGAUCCGCCACACUGGGACUGAGACACGGCCCAGACUCCUACGGGAGGCAGCAGUGGGGAAUAUUGGACAAUGGGGGGAACCCUGAUCCAGCCAUGCCGCGUGUGUGAAGAAGGCCUUAUGGUUGUAAAGCACUUUAAGCGAGGAGGAGGCUACUUUAGUUAAUACCUAGAGAUAGUGGACGUUACUCGCAGAAUAAGCACCGGCUAACUCUGUGCCAGCAGCCGCGGUAAUACAGAGGGUGCGAGCGUUAAUCGGAUUUACUGGGCGUAAAGCGUGCGUAGGCGGCUUAUUAAGUCGGAUGUGAAAUCCCCGAGCUUAACUUGGGAAUUGCAUUCGAUACUGGUGAGCUAGAGUAUGGGAGAGGAUGGUAGAAUUCCAGGUGUAGCGGUGAAAUGCGUAGAGAUCUGGAGGAAUACCGAUGGCGAAGGCAGCCAUCUGGCCUAAUACUGACGCUGAGGUACGAAAGCAUGGGGAGCAAACAGGAUUAGAUACCCUGGUAGUCCAUGCCGUAAACGAUGUCUACUAGCCGUUGGGGCCUUUGAGGCUUUAGUGGCGCAGCUAACGCGAUAAGUAGACCGCCUGGGGAGUACGGUCGCAAGACUAAAACUCAAAUGAAUUGACGGGGGCCCGCACAAGCGGUGGAGCAUGUGGUUUAAUUCGAUGCAACGCGAAGAACCUUACCUGGC